This 2110-nucleotide long non-coding RNA is filed under the name Androctonus crassicauda. Lineage: Eukaryota; Metazoa; Arthropoda; Arachnida; Scorpiones; Buthidae. The record is from RNAcentral.
UUUAGACCUAACUUUUUCCCCGUUUGCUUUAAAACUAACACUAUUGCGGAGUGAAUUAGGAUAUUUUCAGCAGGGCCCGCUCUAUGGGCGGACAUUUGAAGAAAUGCGGUAGGUUGUCUAGGCGGUGAUCCGUGCCGAUGAAACAAAUGGCUCGGUUGUAUAUUUCGGUCGUUUAUCGCUAUAUAUCGGACGCCUGUAUAUCUCUUUGACCUCCGACCUCUAGUCCACUAGGGAUAUUUUCCGUCCUCUUUCCAUCGGUACCGCUUUGGCCGCGCUUCGGUAAGGCGACCGUGGUAGUGUGGCGAAAAAAUGAUGUCUGACCGCCGACACGGGGAAAAAUGCGAAUUUUGCACCUUUAUUCUACCGUAUACCGCGCCUAUUUUAACAAUGGAAAAAUAUUAUCGAGAAAAUAAAUACUUAUACACGGUGUGGCUUCUUAAUUAUCGUGUAACGUAGUAAAAUUAAAACAUUACUUUCGUUAAUUUUUAAAAGAUACUUUCGAUAAUUGUUAUUAAGUAAAUUCCAACAGAAGUUUAAAUAUACCGAAUAUCGUACUAUUAUGUCGAUUCGAUAUUUCGUUCGAAUAAAAAAGAUGCGAAUUGACUGUAUAAAACUGGCAUUGGUACCGAGCUCUUCCGGCCACGACGUCACAAUUGUACCAAAAAGCCUUCCGGUAUAGACGAUAUGGAUGGAAGUCGGGCACGCUUGGUGGUGGAGAAUUCUGCCGAAAGACCGGGUCCGUUUACGUCCGGACGGGGUUAACGCUGACCGUGGUCGGAUUUGGGCAUCCGAACCACCCCGCGCUAUUCCGAAAAUGGGAACCCACGAAUUGUUUAAUUUCAAUCAAAAACGUGGAAAAAUAUUUGCAACGCACCGAUCGAAAUAUAACGCGACAUAGCUAAAUGCAUAAAUUACAUACAAUAAUCAAAUAAAUGGAACAAAACGCAAAAGUAAAAUUAUUCCAUAAAGUUAAUUAAUAUUACUCGGUAAAAAUUCUCCUUCGGUUAAAUCUAUCAGAUCGGAGAUAUAAGUACUAUAGAACGUUUAACCAUAUCCAGACGGUAGUGUGGCGCGGAAAAAAUACCAUAGUUUGUAAGAGAAGGCCGAGGCGCGUUUAACUGUAUAGGAAAAGCGCCACUUAAAAUAAUAAAAAUUUUAAAUGGAAAUAAAGUAUCCUAUUCUUCGAUAAAUUAAUAACCGGUACGGUGUGGGUUAGUAUUUAGUAGGUGUCGAUCGAAUCAAAAUUUGAAAAUUGUUUUUUAAGUGUUAUUUAGGUAGUUAAAUGAGAUGGCGCGGCGGACCAUCAAAUAGUAAUACCCUCGUCUAUCAUCCAUCGAAAAAAAGACACAAAUAUAAUUUUACGAAUACACAUAGAAUGAAUGAAAUAAAUGUUUCUGAAAAGAAUAUCCUGUCUUACUUUUAGUUUUUUUUUAUAUUAACAAAUCAAUAUGUGAAGAAAAAGUUAACUUUUUAUCAGAUAAUAUACCAAGAUCAUUCAUUUCAUCGAGCGUAGGAAUUUUAGUAGAAUGAAACAUUAUUAACUGUGUAGGGUUCGAAUGUCGCAGUGAAAAAACAAAUUGAUUUUGUUGUGCUGAAAUUAAUAUAUAAUCUAUUUUCCUUUAACCAAUUUUCCAGAAUAAAAUCGAAGGAACAAAUUGAUAAUUUUCAGAUCAUCAGCGUAAGUAAUUAUAGUAGAUUCAGUCAAAUAUAACCACGGAUUGAUAUACAUAGAAAAAAAAAAAAGAAGAACACUUAGGGGCGAUCCUCGCGAGUCACCAAAUUUUAGUGGAAUGGGAUGAGACGUAAAUUGAUCAAAUUUCAUCAAAACUUGUCUAUUAUUUAAAUAACAAAACAUCCAUUUAGUUAAGUCGGGGUCUAUAUCAAAUUGAGUUUCCAUAGUACGUUUAAGUAUAAAGUGAUCUAAAGCAGUGGUUUUCAAACUUUGUCAAUUUAAGGAACCCUUAUGAGUAUAAAAUUAUUUCGCGGAACCCGGGAUCAUAAACAAUAGAAUAUUCAGUCUAGAUAGCAAAUAUAAAGAAAAACAUUUUAAUAUUCUUUUAUUAUAUUAAGAAUUAUAUUAAUAAGAGUUAAAAAAGUAUUACAAAAUAAA